UUGAUCUUGUGUUCAAGGCAAAAGGAAAAAGGAUGAGGUUGGUGGGAUUAGCAGGGGGCAAAAAUGCAUGAGAAACUGAGAGAGGGCCAAAAGGAAGCAAGAGGAGAGUUUGAAGAAACGAGAAAAGAGUCAUGCCAAACUAAAAGAGGAAACUAAUAUAAUCUUUCUGCAGAAUGCUGCAGAGCAACAUCGUCUGGAUCUGAAACAUAAGAUCAAGCCGCAGUUGGUUUGCUGCACUCUGCUGGGAGAUUAGAUUAGUUUCCUCUUCUAGUUUGACAGCCUCUUGUCUUAUUUCCUCAAACUUCUCUCUGACUUCCUUUUGCCCCUCUCUUAUGCGUUUUUGUCCCCUGCUAAUCUCACCCAUCUUGUUACUUUUUCCCAUCAGACAGUAAUUCAGAGAUUUAAAAUGGCAUGGUUGGUUUUUCUGACACCAAUUAACCUGCCAUCUUGGUUCCGAAGCUGAAAUUCCAUUUCCAUAAUUACUAAUUAAUCAGGGAAGAGUAAUUUUCUGUGAAAGCAAUGUUUUCUUUGCGGGUUUACUUCACAUGGAAUAAGCAACAAGAAAGAGGAUGGACUCUGGUAAAAGGACACCGCAGAGGCACAAUUGCUCCGCAGUUGUCUUUUUUCCUGCGAUAACUUCAGUCAACUCGUGCCAGCUGUUCGCUGAACAAGAGAUAGAAGGUGGCCUACUUCGGAGAGACAAAGGGCAAGUGAGGAAGCAGUCCAAUUGGGCUGCCAAGUGACAAGAGACAGGUGAUCCACCGACCAACAAAAAAUUCUACUGGGAUCCAAUUUAUUAUUACCGGUUUGUCACUGUAGCUGCGGCUGCUGCUAGAAAUAAAUGCAGGAUUGACGUGUUUGGUUAAAUUGAAUUAUACUUUUAUUUUAUAUGAAUCCCACUCAAAAAUUGAGGUUCAAUUUCA
This is a long non-coding RNA of Populus nigra (black poplar), 923 nucleotides long. RefSeq lists it as uncharacterized. The record is from RefSeq and is a predicted model, not a curated record. NCBI's taxonomy places the organism in Eukaryota, Viridiplantae, Streptophyta, Magnoliopsida, Malpighiales, Salicaceae. The transcript is spliced from 2 exons.